AGCUUAGUUUAGGGUUUAAAACCCUAAUGUUGGCUGAAAGGAAAAGAGUUCAGUUUAGGGUUUAAAACCCUAAUGCUGAUUAAAGGAAAAAGUUCAAUUCAGGGUUUAAAACCCUAAUGCUGACUAAAGGAAAGAGUUCAGUUUAGGGUUUAAAACCCUAAUGCUGGCUGAAUGGAAAAAAGUUCAGUUUAGGGUUUAAAACCCUAAUGCUGACUAAAGGAAGAAUUCAGUUUAGGGUUUAAAACCCUAAUGCUGACUGCAUGGAAAAGAUCAGUUUAGGGUUUAAAACCCUAAUGAUGGCUGAAUGGAAAAGUUCAGUUUAGGGUUUAAAAACCCUAAAUGCUUGCUGAAUGGAAAAAGUUCAGUUUAGGGUUUAAAACCCUAAUGCUGACUAAAGGGAAAAAUUCAGUUUAGGGUUUAAAACCCUAAUGCUGACUAAAGGGAAUAAUUCAGUUUAGGGUUUAAAACCCUAAUGCUGAUUGCAUGGAAAAGCUCAGUUUAGGGUUUAAAACCCUAAUGCUGGCUGAAAGGAAAGAGUUCAGUUUAGGGUUUAAAACCCUAAUGCUGACUAAAGGGAAAAAUUCAGUUUAGGGUUUAAAACCCUAAUGCUGAUUGCAUGGAAAAGCUCGGUUUAGGGUUUAAAACCCUAAUGCUGACUGAAUGGAAAAUUCAGUUUAGGGUUUAAAAACCUAAUGCUGAUGGCUGGGGGCAAAAUUCGAGAACAACAACUGACCUCUUUUCUUUUUUUUUUUGAAUUUUCUUGUUUUAGUAGAAGAUAAAAGGGAGUUUCGUGGAAACUUACCUUUCGAGUGAAUUCCUUAUUGCCGAAAUGUUUCUUGUACCCAUGUACCUUUUUCUUUGGGAGACACCUGCUUCUUGCACGGUUGUCUUGGAUUAAACCUGUUUCAACUUUUCAGACAAAGAACAUUUGUUAGUUCGGAAAUGACGGUCGGUUUGGUGACCUUGAUCGUUCCCGGUUGCUUUGUUGCGUCUUCAUUUCUGUUGCGAAGUCCCGCCAUUGGUUUGAUUCAUAUGUCGGAACCUU
Molecule: long non-coding RNA, 1045 nt
Filed under: Nicotiana tabacum (common tobacco)
Lineage: Eukaryota; Viridiplantae; Streptophyta; Magnoliopsida; Solanales; Solanaceae
Description: long non-coding RNA (NTAB_LNC018621)
Source: RNAcentral